GGGCCUGUAGCUCAGACGGUUAGAGCACUGUGCUGAUAACGCAGGGGUCCGUGGUUCGAGUCCACGCAGGCCCA
Molecule: transfer RNA, 74 nt
Filed under: bacterium
Lineage: Bacteria
Also listed under: 2 other names
Description: tRNA-Ile
Rfam family: tRNA
About the family: Transfer RNA (tRNA) molecules are approximately 80 nucleotides in length. Their secondary structure includes four short double-helical elements and three loops (D, anti-codon, and T loops).
Source: RNAcentral